This 494-nucleotide ribosomal RNA is filed under the name uncultured bacterium. RNAcentral describes it as "partial 16S ribosomal RNA". It matches the Rfam family "Bacterial small subunit ribosomal RNA", at positions 28 to 507 of the family's 1533-position model. The record is from RNAcentral.
GACGAACGCUGGCGGCGUGCUUAACACAUGCAAGUCGAACGGUUAAGCGCCUUCCUUUUUGGUGGGUGUGGAUGAGUGGCGAACGGGUGAGUAACACGUGAGUAACCUGCCCCCUUCUUCUGGAUAACCGCAUGAAAGUGUGGCUAAUACGGGAUAUUCUGGGUCUGUCGCAUGAUGGGUCUGGGAAAGAUAUUGUUUCGGUGGGGGAUGGGCUCGCGGCCUAUCAGCUUGUUGGUGGGGUGAUGGCCUACCAAGGCGGUGACGGGUAGCCGGCAUGGGAGGGUGGACGGUCACACUGGGGAGGAGACACGGAGCAGACUACUACGGGAGGCAGCAGUGGGGAAUAGUGCACAGUGGGAGGAAGCCUGCUGCAGCGACGCCGCGGGAGGGAUGGAGGCCUUCGGGUUGUGAACCUCUUUCGCCAGUGAAGCAGGCCUGCCUCGUUUGUGGGUGGGUUGACGGUAGCUGGAUAAGAAGCGCCGGCUAACUACGUG